This 410-nucleotide ribosomal RNA is filed under the name uncultured bacterium. Its description in RNAcentral is "bacterial SSU rRNA". It matches the Rfam family "Bacterial small subunit ribosomal RNA", at positions 28 to 429 of the family's 1533-position model. The record is from RNAcentral.
GAUGAACGCUGGCGGCGUGCCUAACACAUGCAAGUCGAACGGACUUUUGAUGAAACCUAGUGAUUUAAAAGUUAGUGGCGGACGGGUGAGUAACGCGUGGGUAACCUGCCCUAUACCGGGGGACAACACUUAGAAAUAGGUGCCAAUACCGCAUAAGCGCACGGGACUGCAUGGUCCAGUGUGAAAAACUCCGGUGGUAUAAGAUGGACCCGCGUCUGAUUAGCUUGUUGGUGAGGUAACGGCUCACCAAGGCGACGAUCAGUAGCCGACCUGAGAGGGUGACCGGCCACAUUGGGACUGAGACACGGCCCAAACUCCUACGGGAGGCAGCAGUGGGGAAUAUUGCACAAUGGGCGAAAGCCUGAUGCAGCGACGCCGCGUGAGCGAAGAAGGCCUUCGGGUUGGUUAAA